RNAcentral lists this unclassified non-coding RNA (270 nucleotides) under Hevea brasiliensis (rubber tree). The record is from RNAcentral. Lineage: Eukaryota; Viridiplantae; Streptophyta; Magnoliopsida; Malpighiales; Euphorbiaceae.
CCAGGUCUUCGACCAGAUCCGGAUUUCGAUCGCAUCGCCUGAGAAGAUUCUGUCGUGGUCCUACGGCGAGAUCAAGAAGCCGGAAACCAUCAACUACCGCACGNNNNNNNNNNNNGACGGCCUGUUCUGCGCGCGCAUCUUCGGGCCGAUCAAGGACUACGAAUGUCUUUGCGGCAAGUACAAGCGCAUGAAGUACAAGGGCAUCAUCUGCGAGAAGUGCUCGGUCGAAGUGACGCUGUCACGCGUCCGACGCGAGCGUAUGGGUCACAU